GCGUGGGUGAAGAAGGUCUUCGGAUUGUAAAGCCCUUUCGGCGGGGACGAUGAUGACGGUACCCGCAGAAGAAGCCCCGGCUAACUUCGUGCCAGCAGCCGCGGUAAUACGAAGGGGGCUAGCGUUGCUCGGAAUGACUGGGCGUAAAGGGCGCGUAGGCGGAUCUGACAGUCAGGCGUGAAAUUCCUGGGCUCAACCUGGGGGCUGCGCUUGAUACGUUGGGUCUAGAGUGGGGAAGAGGGUCGUGGAAUUCCCAGUGUAGAGGUGAAAUUCGU
RNAcentral lists this ribosomal RNA (275 nucleotides) under uncultured bacterium. RNAcentral describes it as "partial 16S ribosomal RNA". It matches the Rfam family "Bacterial small subunit ribosomal RNA", at positions 399 to 691 of the family's 1533-position model. The record is from RNAcentral.